GAAUUGGCCUCUACCUACAGAGAGCUGUGUCAGAAAAGUGUUGAACUGAACAAGCAGUCUUUAAAUCAAGAAAAAGACAUAACUCAACUUGAGAAUGAGAAGGUAGAAUUCUUGGAAACCAUCUCCAAAUUGAAAACAGAAGCUGUGGCUCUAAAGGUCAAGCUAGAUGAAGAUCAACAAGUUGAGAGCCAGAAGAUAGUCCAACUGGAGAAAGAAAAAGCAGAACAUGUGGAAACUAUCCUCA
Molecule: long non-coding RNA, 244 nt
Filed under: Lathyrus oleraceus (garden pea)
Lineage: Eukaryota; Viridiplantae; Streptophyta; Magnoliopsida; Fabales; Fabaceae
Description: Pisum sativum (pea) long non-coding RNA (PSAT_LNC009574)
Source: RNAcentral